UAAGACCUCUUGCGGUUCCCCCGGGAUGUGUUCUUCCCCAUUGCGAUGAGCAGUGGGGUCAACUGUGCCUGCAGGUGUGUUCCCGGUGACCUUAGGAUGGGUGACGUUGACAACGGAAGCAACACAGGCCAUCCAGGGGCAGCUGGACAAGGCUCACCUCCGGGGAGCCUACAUCUUCUUCCUGGACUCAGGUGUUUCCCUUCUCCCUGA
This 210-nucleotide long non-coding RNA is filed under the name Felis catus (domestic cat). Its description in RNAcentral is "lncRNA (ENSFCAG00000046993.1)". Lineage: Eukaryota; Metazoa; Chordata; Mammalia; Carnivora; Felidae. The record is from RNAcentral.